UUGGGUGAUCGAUGGGACUGGGCGCCGUGGAGCAGGGGGCAGGCAUUCGUCGGGGAGGCUCGGGCUGCACAGGAACCCACGGAGGCGGGGGAAGGCUCAGGCAUGGCGGGCUGCGGUCCCGAGGCCUGCCCCGUGGGAAGGCAGCUAAGGCCCGGCGAGAAAUCGAGCGCAGCGCCGGUGGGCUGGCACUGCUGGGGGACGCAGUACACCCUCCGCAGCCGCUGGCCCGGGUGCUAAGCCCCUCACUGCCCGGGGCCGGCAGAGCCGGCCGGCCGCUCCGAGCGCGGGGCCCGCCAAGCCCACGCCCACCCGGAACUCCAGCUGGCCCGCAAGCGCUGCUCGCAGCCCCGGUUCCUGCUCGCGCCUCUCCCUCCACACCUCCCUGCAAGCUGAGGGAGCCGGCUCUGGCCUUGGCCAGCCCAGAAAGGGGCUCCCACAGUGCAGCGGCGGGCCGAAGGGCUCCUCAAGUGCCGCCAAAGUGGGAACCCAGGCAGAGGAAGCGCCGAGAGCAAGAGAGGGCUCUGAGGACUGCCAGCACACUGUCACCUCUCACUCCCACUUCGGCCUCCCAAAGUGCUUGGAUGACUGGCAUGAGCCACUGUGCCCGGCUCAGAAUUUCUUUUUGGGGUGAUGAAAAUGCUCAAAGUUAGAUUACGGUGAUGGUUGCGCGCCUCUGUGAAUAUACUCAAAAGCCUUGAAAACAAAAGUUGAGGUGCUACAAACUAAAGGAUCUAAUCGCAGUCACAGAACAGUUGCCCAUGCUUAGUGGCAAGAGGCUGUAUCCUGAGGACUUUUGUGUUUCCAGAUUUCUCCAAAGGAGAAUUACAGUUUGGCAGGUGGAAUGAGGGUCAGGUAGAAAAGGCUGACGAUGCAACUAACUUUAAGGAGGGGGAGGACAAAGGGUGAAGACCAGGUCAGUGUGGAGAAAGGGAGGUUGUAGGAUGUUAGUGCUUCAGAGGAAAACAACAACGAGCUUUUCUCUCCUCUCUGGGGAUCCUGGUCAGCUUCACAUUGGUGGCCCAGAAAUCAGUCUCAGCCCCUCCCAGUAUGGACCGCUCCUUGACAGCCGCCCUCUCUCCUAUAAAGGCAGAUGCAAGCUACGUUUGUGUGGGGAUGACACAGCACAAAGGCCCUUGCCAGAUGUGAGCCCCUUGAUAUUGGAUUUCCCAGUCUUCAGAACUGUCGAAAAGCCCAGGAAUGUUCUAGAAUAUAUGAUUGGCGAGGACCCUCACUGGUGCCAUCCACAUCUUCUCUUCAGGACUGGGAACGUUGGCAGCUGAUGAUCCUCUGGGAAGUUCCUUGGUCGGAUCCCAGGGUGCUCACCAAUCCACCCCCGGCACUCAAAUCUCCAUCUCACAAGCUAUGUGACAGGGACCCUGACUACAACAAUGGACAAAACAUUUUGGCCAGGCGUGGUGGCUCAUGCCUGUAAACCUAGCACUUUGGGAGGCUGAGGCAGACAGAUCACUUGAGGUGACUGCACUCCAGCCUGGCGUGAUCUUUUUUUAAAUUUUGACUCUAUCUCAAAAUUAAAAAAAAUUUUUUUUUUGCCUGGGGGAACCAUAUUACUCUAUCUUUCUCAUGCCCCUACUGAGAAUCAAACUGCCCCUCGUUUUUAUUUUUAUUUUAAUUUUUUAAGACAAGGUCUCCAUCUGUCACCCAGGCUGGAGUGCAGUGGUACAAUCAGGGUUCACUGCAGCCUCAAUCUCCUGGGCUCAAGUGAUCCACCCUCCUCAGCCUCCCAAGCAGCUGGCAUCACAGGUGUGCACCACUGUGCCUGGCCCAAACUUCUCUUAAAUUCAUUUUCCUUAUGGAACAACAACAGCAACAACAACAACAAAAACUUUUGAGAGAAAGUUAGGAGUUACAUCCCACCAAGAGAGCUGCCUUCAGAAAAUAUCAAUUGUUAGGCAAUUUCACAGUAUUCAGUGUCUUCUUCAAACUUAAAAAAAAUUAUACAAAUUAUUUUUAAAAUAUAGAGAUGGGGUCUAUGUUACCCAGGCUGGUCACAUCUUCUUUAAACUUGUUUGACAUUUUUUCUGACCCUCUCAAACAGUUAACUGUUAUUUAUAAUAAUUAAUUGGAAGCGAAUAAAGGGCAAGUAUUGGAUAA
This is a long non-coding RNA of Homo sapiens (human), 2112 nucleotides long. RefSeq lists it as uncharacterized. The transcript has 4 exons. NCBI's taxonomy places the organism in Eukaryota, Metazoa, Chordata, Mammalia, Primates, Hominidae. The record is from RefSeq and is a predicted model, not a curated record.